GCCGCCAUCGCCUAAUCCGGUAUGGCACUAGCCUGGAAAGCUAGACCUGAAAGGGUAUCCCGGUUCAAAUCCGGGUGGCGGCG
This 83-nucleotide transfer RNA is filed under the name Candidatus Woesearchaeota archaeon. RNAcentral describes it as "tRNA-Ser". It matches the Rfam family "tRNA". From Rfam's summary of the family: Transfer RNA (tRNA) molecules are approximately 80 nucleotides in length. Their secondary structure includes four short double-helical elements and three loops (D, anti-codon, and T loops). Further hydrogen bonds mediate the characteristic L-shaped molecular structure. tRNAs have two regions of fundamental functional importance: the anti-codon, which is responsible for specific mRNA codon recognition, and the 3' end, to which the tRNAs corresponding amino acid is attached (by aminoacyl-tRNA synthetases). tRNAs cope with the degeneracy of the genetic code in two manners: having more than one tRNA (with a specific anti-codon) for a particular amino acid; and 'wobble' base-pairing, i.e. permitting non-standard base-pairing at the 3rd anti-codon position. Lineage: Archaea; Nanobdellati; Candidatus Woesearchaeota. The record is from RNAcentral.